Molecule: long non-coding RNA, 1263 nt
Filed under: Cricetulus griseus (Chinese hamster)
Lineage: Eukaryota; Metazoa; Chordata; Mammalia; Rodentia; Cricetidae
Description: lncRNA (ENSCGRG00000024736.1)
Source: RNAcentral
CCCUUGUGUUACUUUUUCUUGCAAUUUUUAUACAAUAAAUAUGUAGUCUGAGCUUUAGAAGCAAAGCAAAGUGAAGUUAACACCUUCAGGUCAGUGGCUAUAGCUGAGGGGUACAGUGCUUGAGUACAUGCCCUAGGCCCUGUUUUGGAGCCUCAAAUUUGUGCUAAUAUGUAUAGCAGUUUUGUGCUUAGAAAGUUCCUAAUUUGAUGCCCUAGGCCCUGGUUUGGAGCCUCAAAUUUGUGCUAAUAUGUAUAGUAGUUUUGUGCUUAGAAGGUUCCUAAUUUGUAAUAUUGUGAGGACUAUCCAGGUAGUAAAUCUAGUAAUUUCAGGAUGGAAAUUUAGAAAUGAAUUCAUGAGCUUUAUAAUGAUAUCAGAGUAUUGUGUUGAAAUGAUUUAAUUACUAUUAUUAGUAUUGUGUGUAUGUGUGUAUAUAUUUAUAUAUUUGUAUUGUAUAGCAAGGUUUUUCUGUAGAGAGAAACCCCUGUAAAUCCUCAUAGUCAGAGAUCUGUAAUAUCCACACAACACUGCUUAUCAAGGGUUAGGGCAAGGGAAUCUGAGGUUUGAAUAAAGAUAAGACAAUGGGUCAUUCUUUCCAGGAGAAUGCACUUUAUUACAAAGGGGAGGAGACUUAUAUACCAUAGCAGCCACAGUAGAAGAGUACUCAAGUCAGGGUUCAUGCCCCCAAGCCCUUGGGCAAUGGGCUGAUAGUUUGCAUUCUUGCCUACAGGCCUAGUCUGAAGGAGGGACCAAGGAAGUAAAUCCCAGUCAGGAGAUGACCAGCAGACCCCAAAGGGGUCCCAACAGAGAUCCUCUUGCCUCUGCCUCUGGAAGGCUGAGAUUAAAGAUUUGGAACCUAAGAUGUAACCUCAGAGCACAAGACAAUCCUAUGUCAGGAGUAAGGCCUGGAGUGGAGCGCUGCUGGGAGAAGAAGAAACUCAAGGCUCCAUCAUCAGCUGGUCACUGACUUCUUCAAAAAUGAGGAUGCCUGAGGGAGACUGGAAAGGCGGGAGCAGGCAGGUGUGUGACUGGUGUCUUCAUUGCAGUGGGUCAACACUGCCAUCGUGCGGAAAAGCCUUCAGACAUACCUUGCACAUUCAGAAGCCGCUUCCCCAGGGCUGCUUGCAGCCGUUUUGGAGCAAUCGCCAUCAGGAAUCGCUUCUUGCGCCAUGGCUAAGAAUCAUGGGAAGGAGGCUCAGUGGUGCUGUGAGUUUUUUGAAACUCUGUCCGCACGAUGGCGGUAGAGCUCCAGGAAUGAUCCUGUGA